This 306-nucleotide long non-coding RNA is filed under the name Salmo salar (Atlantic salmon). RNAcentral describes it as "lncRNA (ENSSSAG00000096839.1)". Lineage: Eukaryota; Metazoa; Chordata; Actinopteri; Salmoniformes; Salmonidae. The record is from RNAcentral.
ACGGUACAGAGUCAAUGUGGAGGCUAUAUACAGGGGGUACCGGUACAGAGUCAAUGUGGAGGCUAUAUACAGGGGUUACCGGUACAGAGUCAAUGUGGAGGCUAUACAGGGGGUACCGGUACAGAGUCAAUGUGGAGGCUAUAUACAGGGGUUACCGGUACAGAGUCAAUGUGGAGGCUAUAUACAGGGUAUUAUUGUACAGAGUCAAUGUGGAGGCUAUAUACAGGGGGUACCGGUACAGAGUCAAUGUGGAGGCUAUAUACAGGGGGUACCGGUACAGAGUCAAUGUGGAGGCUAUAUACUGGG